Helicoverpa armigera (cotton bollworm) is the source of this 4799-nucleotide long non-coding RNA. RefSeq lists it as uncharacterized. The transcript is spliced from 2 exons. The record is from RefSeq and is a predicted model, not a curated record. Lineage: Eukaryota; Metazoa; Arthropoda; Insecta; Lepidoptera; Noctuidae.
CAUCUUAAUUCAUAUUAUACACAGGUUAUUUGCUAAAGAUCUGAUGAUGAAUUUUUAAGAUCAUUUAAUAAGGUUUUGUAAAUAUAUAUUUUUUGUGUUUGAUAUUAUUUAAGAUUUUAACACCGAAGUUAAAUAAUUUAUUAUAUAAAUGCUAAUGUAUUUGUAAACCAAAUAAAUGAUGGUUUUGCACUUUUAUCUUCCACUUUAAUUUGUGUUUUGCUCUGCAUUGUGUUGCUUGCGUAUGAUGGUCCUUGUUUUUUGCUCCAGUUAUUAUGCCACGAACAAGUCGAUCAAGGAAGCUUUCCGAAGAAGAAAAAAAGAAACGCAGACGCGAGCAGAAAAAACUUAGUAUACGCCGUGCGCGGGCCAAAAUGGAUGACGCAGCUCUCGAAGAAAGAAGACGGAAGGAUAGGGAGAGAUACAAAGCUAAAAAACAGCUCGGGCAAUUUAAAACUAUUAAAGACUACACGCCAAGAGAACAAAAGCAGAUAAGAAAAAUAUGGAGAGAAAAAGCAAAAAAGAAACGCGACAAGGAAAAAGCUAAAAAAAAGGGAACGUGAUUUUGUGCAGGAGAACACACCUCCAUCAAGUCCUUCGUUUUCGCGUAUACAAGUUGGCAGAGCAUGGCUACAAGGAAUAGACGACGACUUGUUGCAGAAAAUAAUAAUUUAAAGAGAAGAGUUCUUGAAUUAGAAUCUAAAAUGGCUAAAUAUAGAAUGAGGUGGUUAAGAGCAAGUAAUAAACUGGAAAAGAAAAAACGAUUAAGACUCAAGAGAUAAGAAAAGCAAUCCAUGACUUCUUAGUGCAAGAUGAACACAGCAGAUUAACGUCUGGAAAAAAAGACAAUCACAAGAAGGAAAAUCAAGAAGCAAAUUCGCUUUUUAAAUGACUCACUUUUGAAUUUGCAAAGAUGUUAUUAAUAUGUUUUCAUUCAAGUACGUCUACAGAAGUUGAUUAUCUGUUUUGUGGACAAAUGUCAAAAAAAAUUGUACUGAAUUGGUGUACGUUUUUAUUAUGUUUUGUUUAGGCAUCGAGGAGAACUCCAUUUUAAGUUAAAAAAAAAAAUCUAUUCUUGACCUUAUUAAUAUGAUUAUAAUAAAGUCACAUUUUGCCUUCUGCAGACAACGCAAUCUCACCGUGGACAUAAUAAAACAAAAAACGUGUUUUUUUCCUAAAAUAUCCAAGACUGAUCUCUAGUGAUAUUAUUAUAAGAAUAUUAAUAUGGAACUUUAAAUAAAUACAUAUAACAUUUUAUAAAAAAUUGUGAAGUUUUAUUAUAAAUAUUUAGUAAUGUUCACGUUUUGUGUUUGACCCUUUGUAUCCAGUUUGGACCCGCUGUGCUUUUUAUUUCGUCCUCCCAUCUGUCGUAUGGUCUCCUUUUGUUUCUUUUGCCCACUGCCCCCCUCCAUUCUGUCACUCUUUUGGCCCACCCUAGAUCUUGCAGGCGAGCUAUGUUUCCGGCCCAGUUCCAUUUUAAUGCAAGAGCUUGUGCUAAGCCAUCUGCGGUUCUUUAAACAAUUACUCAGAAAUUGUAAUAUAGUAUUUUGAUAAUUUAAAAUCAUGAUGGCAUGUUAAUGGUUGGUAUUUAUUACAUAAAAUAAAAAGUAUUUAAGAUGUUAAAAGCAUUUCUUAAUCUGUGGUCACAAUAAUCUGCUCCUGUUUCCAUUUGGUUACCAAAAUAAAUUAACGGUUAUAUUUCAGAAAAUGGUUUAACUUACAUGCCGACAUCUGCAACGAGUGGGUUAAUGGUGUAUAAAGAAUAUACGUUUUCAUACAUCGAUAAGAAAAAGAAGUAUUUGUGCUGUUCGAGGCGAAAACAGGGCAAAUGCGAUGCCAAGAUCCGACUGAACGACGAUGGAGAGGUCGUCCUCGCUAAAACUGAUCAUAAUCAUCCACCUCCGAAGUAUUAUAAAGCACCUAAUGGAUUGUAUACCGCGUGGAAUUGAUAUCAGAUGCUUACGGCAAGCCAAUUAUAGUUUACCAGGGAUAUACCUUUCAUGCAUCUCCAGGGAGGGGUAACCUGAUCUGUUCGAAGCGACGUCGGGGCAAAUGCCCAGCCAAACUGAAGGUCGAAGAUGAUGGAGUGACGAUAAUAUAUGCUGACACUAAUCACAAUCACCCGCCCCCGAAAUUUCAUAGAACGACUACUGGGGAAUAUAUCAAGAUAUCAAAUUGAAGAUUUUAUUAGCCUGUAGGCGAGAUUCCGCCAUUGCACGCCAUUGUCGCACACAAAUGUUUCUUCUGGUCUACUCGCUCCAUUAAACUAACAAAUUGUUUUGCAAUUAAGGUUUCCCUGACUUGUCCAUUCUAAACAUUUUCAUUUAUUUAGUUUUUCUUUGUCGUGUAUUAUUGACACUGAUACUUGUUAUUACCGACUUCUUAUAUCUUCAAUUUAUGCAGAAGGUUUUGCGUGUAUUUCCGUCUGCAUAUCUCCUGUCACUUAGAUGAAUUAUUUUAUGGCGUACAUUUGCUCCAUUUGGUUGUUUAUAGACCCUUGUAUACAGUAUACUUAGUUAAACAAUCUUCAUAUGUUUGUAAUGGUAAGAGAGAGAUAGAAGUUUACUCUUCCUAUAGAUUUUAUUUUAUUACAGAAAAUACAAAUAACAGUUAUUUUAUUUUAAUUUCUUUUCAUACUAAUUAAGUAUUAACUUACCUCAAGAAUGCAUACUUAUUUUAAGACAUAUAAAAUAAUACAUAUAUGUUUAUGGUCCACAGAAAGCGCGAGAUUUGUUCAUACAAAAGAACACAGGAAAACGGAUUGGUAUAAAGCACUUUUGAGGGUUGCGGUCAAUAAAAUAUACAACAAGGAAAUCAGUCUGAGACAAGCUUCGCUUACAUAUGAUAUACCAAAGAGUACGUUAUUCGAUAGACUCCAAAAAUUAAAGAAUAAACACAGAAAAAAUAAUUCUUAGCUCGUUAAUAAAUUAGUUGACUCAAAAAGAAUAGUGACGAAAUGGAUAUCUUUUAUGUGAAAAUUAAGUUUUGUAUUACAUAUAUAUUAAUUAUUUUUAUGUGAAAAUUUAAAUUAAGUUUGAGUUUAAUUAAUAAUAAAAAUAUAUUUUAAGUUAGAAAAUAAAUUACUAUAGAUCAUUGAAUUUAUUGAGUAACUUUAGUGUCUCACUCUUUUGCGUGUGGGUGCGAAAGUCUAUGCUUUAAGCGAAAACUCAAAUUGAUAUCAAGAACAUAUUUUUGUACUUACAUUAAUUAUAUUAAAUAGGUUUAAGUGGGUACCAUAAUGCUGUUGGUUGUACAGUUACUUAAAGUCUAUUGGUGAUGUUUUUGUUAGUUUAAAAAUUAUUUUAAAAACAAUUUACUGGGAGUUGAUAAAUAGUUCACGUAUUGUGUUUUCUUUAGAGUUAGUUUAACCGUUUUGUUUUUUUCUUUAAAUAAAGGAAAUAUACCAAGAUGUUCAUAAAAAGCGUUUUAUUUUUUCUACAACCAAAAUGAUUAAAAAAAUAUGUCUCCUUCAAAAAAAGUAACUAAUGUUCUAUUUUCAGACUACCAAAUACUGCCUCUAGCUGGUGGGAAAUCGGUGGUACUUUUUGAAAACUACACUUUUUCAUACCACGUGAGGGGCAGGUCUCGCCUUCAGUGUUCCCAGAAGUUGAGCAAAAAAUGUGGUGCAUUUCUGCGAAUAGAUAGAGCUGGCAACAUUGUUUUUAGUAAUGCUGUCCAUAACCACUAUCCUCCGAGCUGCUUAUUAACUGAUCAAGGGUACUACGUAGUAACUAAAGCCUAUGACUAGAAAAAAAAAAUACUUUGAUGGAUUAAAAUUCAAAAUUAAAUACCAAAGAAUUUGUGAUUUUUGAUGACUUUUUUUGGAGUCAUGGUCUUUCAUAAAUGUUUAUUUUUAUCUUACCAAAUAAAUUGCGAACAUAUCUUGUCUUCUUUUGUUUAUUUUUUAUCGCUUGCCACGUAAUCGUAGGCCUUGCCUUAAAGAACAUCAGGUUGGUAUAUUUUAUUGAAGCAUUAAUGCUUUGAAUUGAUAUUUUUAUAGGUAUCUGCAUGCCUCCCAAACUAAGUCAAGUAAGUACUUAUUUGAAUUUUUCGUGAUCCAUAUUUUUUAUUGUUUUGUUUCAGCGACUUACCAAGUCAUACCCUUAGCUAAGGGCAAAUCAGUGAUCCUUUACAAUAACUACACCUAUUCCUACCACGUUAAAGGCAAGUCUUUACUUCGUUGUUCGCAAAAAAAUAGUGAAAAGUGCCGAGCGUUCAUAAAACUAGGCAAAUGUGGUAAUAUUGUGACUGCGGUGACGAACCAUAUGCAUCUACCCCCGAGGUGCGAGAAGUGUUUGGACGGGACUUACAGAUUCACGAAGUUGAGGAAGGCUUACGGAUCGUUUUAGAGAAAAACUUAAUAUCAUAUGUAAGGCUGGAAACAGUGCUCGACCGACGGUCAGCGCUGACCCGCGUCGAUCGACGUAGCUAUAUCUGUGCAAGUCUACGAACGCGCACACAGCUACGCUGACGGUACGUCCGUGAUUUUGUAUGUGACACACUGCCCGUCCUCCGAGCACUGUUUCCAGCCUAAAAAUAAAAUUAUAUUUAGGGAAAUAGAGUACAAUAUAGGCUACCCGCUAUACGGUUAUUUCCUUUCGUCUCAAUCUAUCCAGGAUGCGUGUGAGUAAUUUUAGCUAUAAGACCGCCCAUUGUGUCACAUAAACCUUUUUAAAAUAUUUUAGUUUUUUUGUUAUAUCAUUGUAAAGAAUAUAUCUAUUGUCUAUGUAUUUCAGUUUUGAUUACCUUUUACUGUUUUGUAUUGAAUAUUUACAUAAAUAAAUGAAUGAGUGUGAAGUGAA